UGCACUGGGGGAAAGGGAGAGUAUCAUGGUUACAGCUGGAUCACCUAAGGCAGAGAGGGAAGGAACCAACAGGUAUAUGAAGAAGACUGUAUUUCCUCCUCAGGAAGAAAAAAUCACCUAUAAAUACAUGAUCUCACUAUGUUGCCCAGGCUGGUCUCAGAGUCAUGACCUCAAGUUAUCCUCCCACCUCAGCCUCACAAAGUGCUGGGAUUACAGGCAUGAACAACUGCACCUGGCCAAUUACAAUCAUUCCAUUGGCUGCAAUAGAUGCUGACACCAUAUUUGUAUAGCCUUCUAGACUAUGAGCCAAUUAAAACUCUCUGCAUUAUAAAUUA
This is a long non-coding RNA of Pan troglodytes (chimpanzee), 335 nucleotides long. RefSeq lists it as uncharacterized. Lineage: Eukaryota; Metazoa; Chordata; Mammalia; Primates; Hominidae. The record is from RefSeq and is a predicted model, not a curated record. The transcript is spliced from 2 exons.